RNAcentral lists this ribosomal RNA (1686 nucleotides) under Triticum aestivum (bread wheat). RNAcentral's name for it is "partial small subunit ribosomal RNA". The record is from RNAcentral. Lineage: Eukaryota; Viridiplantae; Streptophyta; Magnoliopsida; Poales; Poaceae.
AUGGUACGGAAUUUCUGGUGGGGAUCGGUGGAGGGCAAGAGGAAAACGCAUUGGUUGGCAUGGCCGAAAAUUUUAGCGCAUAAGACCAAGGGAGGCUUGGGCUUCAAAGAUUUCCGUCUCUUCAACCAAGCUCUCCUUGCUCGACGGGCGUGGCAUCUGUUAAUUAAGCCUAAUAGUCUAUGUGCACAGGUACUAAAAGCUCGGUAUUAUCCAGAUGGUCGCCUUGAGGAUACAGUGUUCUCCGGGAACGCAUCCUCGACCUGGCAGGCCAUACAGUAUGGCCUCGAGCUCUUGAAAAAGGGCAUCAUAUGGCGUGUUGGAGACGGCCAAAACAUCCGGAUAUGGCGCGACCGAUGGGUGCCGAGGGAACCCUCGCGCCAACCUAUUACACAGCAAGGCACCUGCCGGCUAAGGAGAGUGGCGGAGCUUCUAGCGGCGGAUGGUUCCUGGCAUAUGGAUCUUCUCCGUCGACACUUCCUCCCGGCGGACGUUGAUACGAUAUCCAGCAUUCGCACCUCGCCGCGCUACACCGACGACAUCAUCGCCUGGGCGCCGGAGAAGAACGGUAUCUUCACCGUUCGUUCCGCCUAUCGAUUUGCCAUGGACGAGCGCAAGCGUCCAUUGGCCACCGCCAUGAGCAGGGCACCGGAUGGUCGUCGCGCCAUCUGGAAGACCAUAUGGGGGUGCCCUGCUCCCCCGAAGGUACGCGUGUUUGCUUGGCGUAUUGUGACCAACUCUCUAGCUACUUGGGCAAAUAAAUUCUCACGUCAUCUUGAGCUUUCUGACAUAUGCCCCAUUUGUGGUGUGGAACGAGAUGAUGGGUUCCAUGCGAUGUGCAGGUGCCCCCUUGCGAAGGAACUUUGGCAUGCCAUGGCGCUAGAUUGGGUCAUCCUGAGGGUUGAAUCCAUUCGCAACACGGGGCCAGAAUGGCUGUUCACCCUCCUUGAGCCUUUGGACGAGACGACGCGUAUGAUCAUACUAAUGAUCAUGUGGAGGACUUGGCACAUGCGGAAUGAGAUCACGCAUGAAAAACGGCCACCUCCAACUGAGUCCUCUCAGCGGUUCCUACAUGGAUAUAUCAGCUCUUUAUUGUGCCUCAAGCAGUACCCCAAUGGUGAUGUUGUGAAGGGGAAAAUGGUGAUCAAUAUUGCGCCACCAGCACAUACAGCCAGCGCCCUAGCUAAAGAGGAGCUGAGCUGGGUCGCUCCUACUACAUGAUGGACCAAGUUGAACAUAGACGGAAGCUUCAUACCGGCUACAGGUAUGGCAGGAGGUGGGAUGAUCCUCCGGGGCACUCAGGGAAACAUCAUAUUUAGCGCUUGCCAUGAACUCCGUACUUGUGGUAACGCGCUGGGCGCCAAGCUCGCGGCGUGUAGGGAGGGGCUGGAGCUAGCCCUCCACCGGAUGACGCUGCCAAUUUCGGUAGAACUAGAUAGUUCUGAGGCAGUGUCGCUGAUCAUAGCAAAUUCCGAUGAUAGAUCAGUACAUCGCCUCGUGAUCCAGGAGAUUAAAAGCUUGGCCUCAACUGAGGAUAGGGAGAUUUCUUUUACUCUUUGUCGUCGUUCGCAGAAUAAGAUUAGUCAUGAACUUGCUGCUUAUGGCCGUUGUACCCCCCGAACCGCAGUGUGGUUGCACUCGGGGUUAGACUUCAUUGUAAACCUGGCUGUGGCUGAGAGGCCCCCGUGA